Molecule: long non-coding RNA, 3680 nt
Filed under: Equus caballus (horse)
Lineage: Eukaryota; Metazoa; Chordata; Mammalia; Perissodactyla; Equidae
Description: lncRNA (ENSECAG00000050670.1)
Source: RNAcentral
AGCUGCUGCCAUCUCAAAUACACCAAUACCACCAUGUUCUGCCAAGGGCAUGCUUCUUCCAAGCAGCUCCCAGCCGGUGACUGGGUAUGACAAGGACAUAGGGGAGGCCCGUUCUUGCAAGACAACACUUUCAAUAGGCAACUAUGGCUCUUAGACUCCUCAUUGAUCUUGCAAAAGCUUUCAGAAAUAUGUUAAGGUCUAAGACAUUCCUUCCUUCUCUCUCGAUCCUUUAUAGAGGUCAGACUGGCAUUGUGAUGCAAUAGCUCACUCAAGAUCCUCUGGAUCCCUCCACAUUUUCCCACAUAGGCAUAACGUCCAACAAAUCUCACAUGUCUGAUCCCAUUUGUGGUCAGAUUCUUGGGGGACCAAUAGUGGUCAGAGAAGGCAGAAGGGCACACUUUACACAUCCUGCACAACCAACAUUUUGUACUGAGAGAGAUCCAAGAAAGUAGACACUAAGAUAAGAUCUUCGAGUUGCAGCACUUCUGUCUAUCUGGUAAUGAAGACCCCAUCCCUCAUGGUAGAUAAAGAACAGACAACCUCUGGUAGCAGUCUGAUCAUUAAAACUUACUGAUGGUGUAUUGGGAUGAUAUAUUGGUAAAAAGAAAUGUGCUAAGUGGCAUGACACACUAGGCAUUUGUGAAAUUUGUUCUAUUAACAUGUGUUCUGUAUGAUCCUAGGAGUAAAAGGCAGCAAGAGUACUCCAUCUGCACAAAUAAGAGAUGGACAAUCAGGAGACUAAGGGCAGUUUCCCCAAUAAAUAUUCAUAAUCUUUUGCCCUGUGUUUAGACUUGGAACCCAUUGACUGAAUGUGUCUUCCUUUCUGAGAGGAGGAACUCAGCAAAACCCUGGGAAGGGUGCAUGGUAAUGAUUCCCCCAGUCUCUUCUCCAAAAGAGACCUAUAGCCAUUUAUUCAGGUAAUUGUAGACCGGAAAAAGGGUAACCAACCAUUUGGAGAAUGUGUGACAUGACUUCUGGGUAACACUGAUAUCCAGCAAUCCAAAGAUUCAUUAUGGAUCCCCUGUCACAGUGGAUGUGUAGGAGGGCCAGGUAAUAAGUGGAUUCCUCACCAAUAUCCAGCUCUUAGUGGGUCCUCUGGUUUGGGGAUGCACCUGAUGAUCAUCCCUCUUGCCUUAAUGUCUAGUCAGAAUGGGUACACCUGUCUAUUCAGGGUCUUGGCCUAUGAAGCAAGAGGUGUAGUGGAGAAGGCCAAGGAGAAGCCUUUGGAACUUCCCCUUUCUCAGGAUAAGAUAGUAAAUAAAAAGAUUGUGUGCUUGAAGGGAUGGAGGAAGUUAGUGACACUUUCAAAAUGACCUAAAGGAUGCGGGGGUGGUGGUCCUCAUUAUAUUCUCACUUAAUUCACCAGUAUGAGACCUAAGAGUGAGUCUACCUCAAAUUCAAGUGUUAACCUCAAUUAAGCUGCCUUGUCAGAUGUGCUCUCUGCUAGAGAACAUCGACAGUCUCAGGGACACAGUAUCUAGCCUUUGACUUGGUGAAUGCUUUUCUACAGAAUCAGGAAAGGGGCUGAGGAACAGCCUACAUCAACGUGAAAUGGACACUACACACAUUUAUCAUUUAGCCCCAGGGCUAACUUCACUUUAAGGAGUCCUGAAGCAGUGCUGUAAGAGGAUGUUUAUGAUGAAAAUGUUCUCCAAUCUGCUAUACAAUUCAGUAGCCGCUAGCCACACAUGGCUAUUGAGCACUUGAGAUGUAGCAUGUUGGAGGGCCUUGUUAAGUCACGUGUUAUCCAGAGCAUGGGAGACAGACACUAUGAGGAAGAAAAUGCCCAAGUUUGAUUCAUGGGUGGAUCUACCCGGGAGUGCAAGUCAAAGAUGGAUGGCUGCUGCAUAACACUCCCACUGGAGGGUGACCUUCAAUGAUGGCAAGGGGGAAGUACUCCUAAGGGGUAUAAGUUUAGUUGGUGCACUUGAUUACCCAUUUUGCAUGGAAAAAGAUCUUCAUUUUGAGGUUUAAGUACACAUAUGUACUAGUGGACAGUGGCAAAUGGCUUGACUCCUGGUCAGAGGCCUGGAAGGAGAAAAACUGGAAACAAGUUGGUGUGGAGCUGAGGCACAUGGAUAGGCAUCUGGGAGUAGAACAAAGUAUCUUUAUAAUGCACGCUACCACUCAGCAGAGGGGAUCUAUCAGAAAAGAUCACUAGUCUAGUAGAUACUAUAUGAAGAUCCUGCAAUAUUUAGCAGUUUGGAAAUGGGCACCUCAUUUCACACCAGGACAGGCCAAAAGAACAAUGGCCAGAGGAUUAAGCUGGCUGCUAGCUACCAAAUUAGGCCUAAGGCCAUAUGAAAGUCCAUGACAUUGCUGUUAUGUCUAUGAAGUUUGGGGCACUAAGAAUUCUGUAGAAGACCCAGCUAGAAAACACAGGGGUAAUAAGUUCUCCACAGAUAUGAAUAAGCAGUACAGCUAUUUUCAAACUCAAACCUACUGUGUUAACCAGAAAGAAAACACAACCAGAUCUACAAAGUUACAUAGAAGCUAGUAUUAUAUUGCUCCCCACAGGCAGAAGGCCCGAGGUCCAGGAAAUAGAUCUCAUAGGAAACAGGCUCAGGAUAGAAAGGCCUUUAAAAGAUUUGAAAAGCCAUGACUAAAUGGAACUGUAGAGCUCCAGGAAGAGGCACCAGAGAAGGAAGAUGUGUAAUACAGAAGUCCAGUUCAUCAAAAUGUCUUGGCUUCUUUGAUUUCUGCUCAUCCUAAUAAGUUUGUUGAAAAGCUUGGGACACUUAACCCAGUCUUGAGACACAGGUCCAGAUGCACUAACAUCCAAGAUGAAAGAGAUACCUGCUGGAGUCCAGGCACCAAUUUCACUCAAGAUCAGAGGACAACCAGGUUUUCAUGUUAAGCCCUGCUAUGCCUCAUAAAAUAUCACUUUCCAACUGUUGGGAAGAUGGACAGGUGAAAGCCUUUAAUGCUCCUUGACCUUAAUGUCUGGCAUCUUGAGGGCAGGGAAUUUGUCAUUUGUUCCUUAGAAGUGCUAUUGUCUUAGUUCUAUUGUCCUGAAGUCAUUAGACCCAGGUAGAGUGGACACUAAGCUUUGCCCACUGGACUGUAGUGAGCAUUGUUCUAUAGCUUCAAGACACUAUUUCAAGGGUAAAUAGUGUCAUUUUCACUUUGAAUUUGGCGUUUGUUAAAAUGUAGCCUCUAUUCCUUCUCUUACUAGCCUUUUUUUCUAGGCCUCCUCACCUGAGCAGACAGGGGGAGACUGGCCACUCAUUUCUCAGCUCAAUCCCUGUCCUGGGUCCUUUCUACAUUCUAAUCCUAGUACCUUAUCUAUCCACUAUCAGUCAAUUUGUCAGUGAGGGCUCUAGUUAUCUUCACCAUUUUGAGUCAGAGUCUAUGUUCUCCAAUCUACCAUGUGAUGGUUAAUUUUCUAUGUCACCUUGACUGGGCCAUGGGGUACCCAGACAUUUGGUCAUACUUUCUGGGGGUGUCUGAGAGGGUGUAUCUGGAUGAGCUUAAUAUUCGAAUUGGUAGACUGAGCUGAGCAGACGCCCUCCCUAAGGCAGCUGGAUCUCAUCCAAUCAACUGGAGACCUGAAUAGAAAAAAAACGGUAAGAGAACUCCUUCUGUCCAACUCCUUUGAACCUGGACAUUGACCUUUUCCUGACUCUUGGCUCCAACUGAAAUAUCAGCUAAUUUUGGGUCUGGAGCCUGCUAGCUUUCUG